GAUGAAGAAAAGCACUUAGAGACAGAGCAGGAGACGAGAAAGCAGCACUGCAGAAGAGCUCUUCAGCAUCAUCAGCUCUGCUGUGGACACAGGAUCCGCUGCUUCCUUAUUAGGCAGAACAGAAACAUGAGUGUCCGUUAGGCUCCCCAAAACAUGUUCAAGCAGAAGCCACUCGAACAGGUCCAAAACACACCCAGGAUUAUGGGACAAAGGAGGACAUUGCCAGCAUCUCAGAUGGCUGUUAGGAUACCCAUUCCCAUGGUAUAAUAAGAAGAGAGCUGAAAGCUGAGUCUAUGUCUCUUAUCAAUUGAAAGUGUGAAAAGGAUGUGCACCAAAGUCCUCUAAAUGGAUAUUCAUGACUGAAGAUAUUUGCUUUUGACUUUUGUGUGGCGUAAGGAUGAAAUUAAAUGCUUUGUUGAGACCCCGUGACCUCUGACCUGCCUUCUUUAGACGAGACACCGCUGAAACACACGCAACCGCAGCUUCCCUCUUUCUAGCUUUCUCACUGUCUUUUGUCCCAUGUUAUUGUCAUCAUUCCCUACAGGCAAGGGUUCGCCCGGAAGCCAAAUUAAACACACGCUAAUGCUUUCUGUGUGUGUUAUUCACACUCCGAAAGGAUCAUUCAGUGUCUCCGCUGUGAGCUGCCAUUUCUCUCUUCGUAUAUUAACACGUUAGACUGUUGGAAGUGUCAGAAGAUAAGUUUAAUGUGUAUGUACUAAUUUGUCUGACAUUAUUAUGACAUUAUUAUUCGAUAGCUUCUAGAUGUGAGACUGUAAAUGUGACAUUUAUUUCAAAGUUAGUAGAUAAUGAGCUUAGUUCCUAUCAUGCAAAAACAAAAUACAAAGAGCUGUGUGUAUGCGUGUGAAAGUCAGUACUCUGGUAGUCAGUGUGUCUGUGUCACUAGCCUAUAGGCAUUUCUACAGAUGAGAUUGUGGGUGUGUUUGCAGGAUGUAGUUCACUGAUUGUAGGGAAAAUUGCUGCUGUAGUUGUAUUAUAUGGGUGACGAGGAGAUACGAGGAUCGGUACCACGUUGUGCAUAGCUCUGGGUGUGGUUCGCUGGGAUUAAUCAUUUAACGCAUAAGGCAAUAAUGGGUUGUGCGAUAUGCACCCAGUUAAUUGACAUAUGCGGCAUGACGGCUUCACAAACUGGACCGAGAGCCAUGGAAAUGUCCGGCUUUCCAGAAAUCCCUCAGCAGGACUACCACAGACUGUCCGGUUUACACUACACCUCUUCUUUCUCUGAUGCAGAGGACUGCUGUGAUGAAACGACAAGUACAAGCUCUUCCUCAGAUUACCUUGGCAUGGACGAUUGACAACAUAUUUGUUUUUAUUGCUGAUGUUCAGUUGCCUUCGUUAAGCCUUUGUUCAACCUAGGGAAAGUGCACUGAAGAGCAUUAUGGUGUCUUGGCACCUGGUCUUAAAUCCCCAUGCCUUUGUGGUGUGACCAAUAUUUGAAGUUCUUGGUCCAUGUCUCACACACUAUGCACUAUAUUCUAACACCCUUAGACUAUGUACUUGGCCUUUAAGGACGUGAAUGUCUUAAAUUUGCACUAAAAAUAAAUGCCAUUACUGCCCAGUACCUCAAUGAACAGCACCAGAACAGCCCCCAUAAGAUCAACCCCCAGUUUUAAAAUCUAAAAUGACUGCCCUAAAUUUUUUGUUACCAAUUUGAAUCUACAGAGUAGCAGCUGAAUCUGAUUCUUUCUGCUACAUAGAGCAGACUAUGACCAGCAAGUGCUGAAAAUAUCCAACUUUGCACACAUCAUUUUUCAUUUCUUUAAUAUAACAUAUGGAUGUUAAUAGUGCAGCACAUCUCCCAGCAUGAGGUUAUUGAAUUCAUUUUGAGUCCAAAUAUUAUCAAAGCUCCAAAAAACUACAAGAACAGCAAACAAUAUUAUCCACAUCUUAAAAGGAAAAGAAAAAGUUGCUAUUACAAAAUAAUAAUAAUAAAUUUGAAUUAUAGUAAAACUUCAUUUUCAAAUAUAGUUUAUUUAGGUUCCUGGUGUUUAUUUUACGGUUACUAAUAAUAUUUUGUGCUUUUAUUGGUUGAUAUCACAAAGUAAUGGGCCUUAAUACUUUGCCAGCUGACUGGUGAGUAAUUCUACAUGUGUUUAAUGGUUUUCUAAUGAGAGUUAAAGGUCCUACAGGGAUCUGGCAGUCACUGCUGGAGACCUUGUGGUCAUAGCACUUGCAAAUAUUCAAUUAAGACAAAACAUUUCAAAGUUAUUAAACACAGACUAGAUUCUGGAUCUAUAACUGAAUCAAGAAUGACUAAACUCUUGGAAACCAUUGAAUCCAUUAGGUCCUAUGUGAAUUUGUUUGAUGGAAACCACAGAUCAAUUCCCAGUGGAGGGAAACAAUAUCUAAAAUAUUUCAGUUUUGAAUAAAGUCUGGUCUUGUUCAUGUACAACUUCUAACUCUUCUCCUACACUACACUACACACUACAGUACACUACACUACACAAUAAUACACUACACUACACUACAAAACACUACACUAUAAUACACUACAAUAUAAUACAACACACUACACUACACACUACAAUACACUACACUAGACACUACGAUACACUAUACACAACAGUACACUACAAAACAAUACAAUACACCAUUAUAAUACAUUACAAUACACUAUAAUGCACUUGUCUACAAUACAUUACACUACACACAUUACAAUAAACACUACACACUGCACUACACUACAGUACACCCUACACUACACACUACAUUACAAUACACACUACACUAAACACUGCAAUACACUACAAUACACACUGCACUAAACUCUACACACUACAUUACACACUACACUACACACUACAUUAGACAUUACACUAAACACUACCCACUGCACUACACAUUACACUACACUAUACACUACACACUGCACUAUACACUUCACUACACUACACUAAACACUACCCACUGCACUACACACUACACUAUAAUACACACUACAUUACACUACGCACUACAUCACACACUACAUUAGACACUACACUAAACGCUACACACUGCACUACACACUACACUAUAAUACACACUACAUUACACUACGCACUACAUAACACACUACAUUAGACACUACACUAAAUGCUACACACUGCACUACACUACAAUACAUACUGCACUACACUAAACACUACCCACUGCACUACACACUACACUACACACUACAUUACAAUACACACUACACUACACUAUACUACAAUAUACACUACACUACACUACAAUACACACUACACUAUACUACAAUAUACACUACACUACAAUACACACUACACUAUACUACAGUACACACUACACUAAACACUACACUACAAUACACACUACACUAAACACUACACUACAAUACACUAGACAUUACACUACACACUACAAUACACACUGCAUUACACACUACACUACACACUGCACACUACAUUACACUACACAAUUUUGUGAACUUUUUUGUUCGCACCCUGUUGUAUCAAGAAGAUUAACUAGCAAUAAUGUACAAUAAUUCUGUUCAGGCCUUAAGGCCAUAAUAUUUUCCUGAUAAAAAUGACUUUCAUAGGCAUAAUUACAUUUAAUUAUGUUCAUCAGACACUGUCUGGUAAAACAUAAAAUCAAGGAAACAAAUAAAAAAUAAUACAGCAUGAUGAACUAUUGUAUAACCAAUUUU
Molecule: long non-coding RNA, 3664 nt
Organism: Ictalurus punctatus (channel catfish)
Lineage: Eukaryota; Metazoa; Chordata; Actinopteri; Siluriformes; Ictaluridae
Source: Ensembl